Molecule: ribosomal RNA, 301 nt
Filed under: uncultured bacterium
Lineage: Bacteria
Description: partial 16S ribosomal RNA
Rfam family: Bacterial small subunit ribosomal RNA
Source: RNAcentral
CAGUCGCCGCGGUAACACAGAGGGUGCGAGCGUUAAUCGGAUUUACUGGGCGUAAAGCGUGCGUAGGCGGCUUCUUAAGUCGGAUGUGAAAUCCCUGAGCUUAACUUAGGAAUUGCAUUCGAUACUGGGAAGCUAGAGUAUGGGAGAGGAUGGUAGAAUUCCAGGUGUAGCGGUGAAAUGCGUAGAGAUCUGGAGGAAUACCGAUGGCGAAGGCAGCCAUCUGGCCUAAUACUGACGCUGAGGUACGAAAGCAUGGGGAGCAAACAGGAUUAGAUACCCCUGUAGUCCCUGUCUCUUAUAA